Molecule: ribosomal RNA, 253 nt
Filed under: uncultured bacterium
Lineage: Bacteria
Description: partial 16S ribosomal RNA
Rfam family: Bacterial small subunit ribosomal RNA
Source: RNAcentral
UACGUAGGGGGCUAGCGUUGUCCGGAAUCAUUGGGCGUAAAGAGCGUGUAGGCGGCCCGGUAAGUCCGCUGUAAAAGUCAAAGGCUCAACCUUUGAAUGUCAGUGGAUACUGCCGGGCUAGAGUCCGGAAGAGGCGAGUGGAACUCCUGGUGUAGCGGUGGAAUGCGCAGAUAUCAGGAAGAACACCAACGGCGAAAGCAGCUCGCUGGGACGGUACUGACGCUGAGACGCGAAAGCGUGGGGAGCGAACAGG